This 253-nucleotide unclassified non-coding RNA is filed under the name uncultured Gammaproteobacteria bacterium. Its description in RNAcentral is "contains 16S-23S intergenic spacer region". It matches the Rfam family "Bacterial small subunit ribosomal RNA", at positions 524 to 776 of the family's 1533-position model. Lineage: Bacteria; Pseudomonadati; Pseudomonadota; Gammaproteobacteria. The record is from RNAcentral.
UACAGAGGGUGCGAGCGUUAAUCGGAAUUACUGGGCGUAAAGGGCGCGUAGGCGGACUGUUAAGUGAGUUGUGAAAUACCUGGGCUUAACCUGGGGAGGACGGCUUAAACUGGUGGUCUGGAGUACAGUAGAGGGUAGAGGAAUUUCCGGUGUAGCGGUGAAAUGCGUAGAUAUCGGAAGGAACACCGGUGGCGAAGGCGGCUACCUGGACUGAUACUGACGCUGAGGCGCGAGAGCGUGGGGAGCAAACAGG